This 329-nucleotide unclassified non-coding RNA is filed under the name soil metagenome. RNAcentral describes it as "partial contains 5.8S ribosomal RNA, internal transcribed spacer 2, and large subunit ribosomal RNA". The stretch from base 1 to 120 matches the Rfam family "5.8S ribosomal RNA", at positions 35 to 154 of the family's 154-position model. The record is from RNAcentral.
GAUGAAUAACGUAGCGAAAUGCGAUAAGUAAUGUGAAUUGCAGAAUUCAGUGAAUCAUCGAAUCUUUGAACGCACAUUGCGCCCCUUGGUAUUCCGAGGGGCAUGCCUGUUCGAGCGUCAUUAUAACCCCUCAAGCUCAGCUUGGUGUUGGGGCCUGCUGCACUGGCAGCCCUUAAAAUCAGUGGCGGCGCCAUCUGGCUCUAAGCGUAGUAAUUCUUCUCGCUAUGGAGUCCUGGUGGAUGCUUGCCAUCAACCCCCAAUUUUUCUAUGGUUGACCUCGGAUCAGGUAGGGAUACCCGCUGAACUUAAGCAUAUCAAUAAGCGGAGGA